AUGAACGCUGGCGGCGUGCCUCAUACAUGCAAGUCGAGCGAACGGACGAGAAGCUUGCUUCUCUGAUGUUAGCGGCGGACGGGUGAGUAACACGUGGAUAACCUACCUAUAAGACUGGGAUAACUUCGGGAAACCGGAGCUAAUACCGGAUAAUAUUUUGAACCGCAUGGUUCAAAAGUGAAAGACGGUCUUGCUGUCACUUAUAGAUGGAUCCGCGCUGCAUUAGCUAGUUGGUAAGGUAACGGCUUACCAAGGCAACGAUGCAUAGCCGACCUGAGAGGGUGAUCGGCCACACUGGAACUGAGACACGGUCCAGACUCCUACGGGAGGCAGCAGUAGGGAAUCUACCGCAAUGGGCGAAAGCCUGACGGAGCAACGCCGCGUGAGUGAUGAAGGUCUUCGGAUCGUAAAACUCUGUUAUUAGGGAAGAACAUAUGUGUAAGUAACUGUGCACAUCUUGACGGUACCUAAUCAGAAAGCCACGGCUAACUACGUG
RNAcentral lists this ribosomal RNA (496 nucleotides) under uncultured bacterium. RNAcentral describes it as "partial 16S ribosomal RNA". It matches the Rfam family "Bacterial small subunit ribosomal RNA", at positions 29 to 507 of the family's 1533-position model. The record is from RNAcentral.